Molecule: long non-coding RNA, 1175 nt
Organism: Brassica napus (rape)
Lineage: Eukaryota; Viridiplantae; Streptophyta; Magnoliopsida; Brassicales; Brassicaceae
Exons: 3
Source: RefSeq, a predicted model, not a curated record
AGAGUAAACAUAGCAAUUAGUCAUCCUCUCCAGAACCCUAAUCACUUUUCUAGGCAGAGCUAAGAUUAUCAUUAGAGUAACGUCGCAAAUCACUUUAAGAACAAACCAUUAAUCUUCACAUUUAAUUUUAGUAAAUUCGAGAACCCACUACUUCUCAUUACAGUCCUUUUCAGCUUCUUUGCAAUCUGAUACCUAUAAAAAGGCAUCUCCGGCGCCAUGAUUUUCACAGAUUCCUCUCUUUUCCACUCAACCAACAUACAAAGAUGAACCUUAAAGAACAAUAGCGACUUCCAAGACACCACUUUCCGAGUUAAAGCCCGAGCCUUACAGUCGAAUCUCCUCAGAUAAUUGAGUUUUUCUGCACUGCCAAAGUGAACGAAAUUCAUCCGGAUAAAGGUUCCGUGUGGACCUCUGUGUCUAACCAGACUGGUUCAGCUGUCUUAGUGGCUUUUGAUGAGGAGAUGGCUACAAUUACCAAAAUUCAAGCUGCGUAUAUUGUGGUAUAAAAGUCUGGCUAUUGACCUUAGCUAUUCUAAAAAUAUAGAUUUUUUUCCGGAGCUGCGUAUAUUGGGGUCAAUGCUAAGGUUGAUAGGGAACUCCGUCAGUUCAUUACUGAGAUUGUUGGUAGCACCUACACAUUCCAGCUAAAGCUAAUCGCUUUCAAUUUCACUUCAAAGCACCAAACCUUCACCAUUUCCCGUAUAUUUACUGUGCUGGAGCGUCCAACUGUGCCAGCCUUUAUUAUAGAAGUUUGUCCCCAUUCCUAACUUCUGUCUGCUGCUCUGACAAAUAUUUAAUCUCUGAAUCUUUUACAGUGUAAAUAGGGAGGUGCAGAUGUCCCUCGAGCUAAGCUUCCUUGAGUGGACACACAAUGAUCAGCUGUUGCACCAAGUGAUGAUUGCAGUGUUUCAGCGGUAUCAACCAAGCAGCAACUUGAUCCAAAAGAAAAUGGACGGAAGAAUGUACGUUUGGAAUAAGUACUCUGGAUAGCUGCACCACCGCAAAAUCAACUUAUGAAUCUUUUGGCUUUAGCAUCUUCUCACUUUUCGUUUUUCCCUUUCUGAUUUUUUCUUUUUAAUUAAUACCAUUUUAGCGGUCAGAACUUGUACUAUUGAUGCAACUUUUUCUCCAAAUGUAUAUUAUCGACAACAGUUUUUUAUUUAUUAAACUUCCCA